GAUGAACGCUGGCGGCGUGCCUAAUACAUGCAAGUCGAGCGAACAGACGAGGAGCUUGCUCCGCUGACGUUAGCGGAGGACGGGUGAGUAACACGUGGAUAACCCACCUAUAAGACUGGGAUAACUUCGGGAAACCGGAGCAAAUACCGGAUAAUAUAUUGAACCGCAGGGUUCAAUAGUGAAAGACGGUUUUGCUGUCACUUGUAGAUGGAUCCGCGCCGCAUUAGCUAGUUGGUAAGGUAACGGCUUACCAAGGCAACGAUGCGUAGCCGACCUGAGAGGGUGAUCGGCCACACUGGAACUGAGACACGGUCCAGACUCCUACGGGAGGCAGCAGUAGGGAAUCUUCCGCAAUGGGCGAAAGCCUGACGGAGCAACGCCGCGUCAGUGAUGAAGGUCUUCGGAUCGUAAAGCUCUGUUAUUAGGGAAGAACAAAUGUGUAAGUAACUAUGCACGUCUUGACGGUACCUGGUCAGAAAGCCACGGCUAACUACGUG
Molecule: ribosomal RNA, 497 nt
Filed under: uncultured bacterium
Lineage: Bacteria
Description: partial 16S ribosomal RNA
Rfam family: Bacterial small subunit ribosomal RNA
Source: RNAcentral